RNAcentral lists this ribosomal RNA (344 nucleotides) under uncultured bacterium. RNAcentral describes it as "bacterial SSU rRNA". It matches the Rfam family "Bacterial small subunit ribosomal RNA", at positions 1 to 334 of the family's 1533-position model. The record is from RNAcentral.
CUAGCGACUUCAGAGUUUGAUCCUGGCUCAGGACAACGCUGGCGGCGUGCCUAAUACAUGCAAGUAGAACGCUGAAGGAGGAGCUUGCUUCUCCGGAUGAGUUGCGAACGGGUGAGUAACGCGUAGGUAACCUGCCUGGUAGUGGGGGAUAACUAUUGGAAACGAUAGCUAAUACCGCAUAAUAGCAGUUGUUGCAUGACAACUGUUUGAAAGGUGCAAUUGCACCGCUACCAGAUGGACCUGCGUUGUAUUAGCUAGUUGGUGGGGUAACGGCUCACCAAGGCGACGAUACAUAGCCGACCUGAGAGGGUGAUCGGCCACACUGGGACUGAGACACGGCCCAG